RNAcentral lists this ribosomal RNA (2902 nucleotides) under Escherichia coli. RNAcentral describes it as "bacterial LSU rRNA". It matches the Rfam family "Bacterial large subunit ribosomal RNA". The record is from RNAcentral. Lineage: Bacteria; Pseudomonadati; Pseudomonadota; Gammaproteobacteria; Enterobacterales; Enterobacteriaceae.
UUAAGCGACUAAGCGUACACGGUGGAUGCCCUGGCAGUCAGAGGCGAUGAAGGACGUGCUAAUCUGCGAUAAGCGUCGGUGAGGUGAUAUGAACCGUUAUAACCGGCGAUUUCCGAAUGGGGAAACCCAGUGUGUUUCGACACACUAUCAUUAACUGAAUCCAUAGGUUAAUGAGGCGAACCGGGGGAACUGAAACAUCUAAGUACCCCGAGGAAAAGAAAUCAACCGAGAUUCCCCCAGUAGCGGCGAGCGAACGGGGAGGAGCCCAGAGCCUGAAUCAGUGUGUGUGUUAGUGGAAGCGUCUGGAAAGGCGCGCGAUACAGGGUGACAGCCCCGUACACAAAAAUGCACAUGCUGUGAGCUCGAUGAGUAGGGCGGGACACGUGGUAUCCUGUCUGAAUAUGGGGGGACCAUCCUCCAAGGCUAAAUACUCCUGACUGACCGAUAGUGAACCAGUACCGUGAGGGAAAGGCGAAAAGAACCCCGGCGAGGGGAGUGAAAAAGAACCUGAAACCGUGUACGUACAAGCAGUGGGAGCCUCUUUAUGGGGUGACUGCGUACCUUUUGUAUAAUGGGUCAGCGACUUAUAUUCUGUAGCAAGGUUAACCGAAUAGGGGAGCCGAAGGGAAACCGAGUCUUAACUGGGCGUUAAGUUGCAGGGUAUAGACCCGAAACCCGGUGAUCUAGCCAUGGGCAGGUUGAAGGUUGGGUAACACUAACUGGAGGACCGAACCGACUAAUGUUGAAAAAUUAGCGGAUGACUUGUGGCUGGGGGUGAAAGGCCAAUCAAACCGGGAGAUAGCUGGUUCUCCCCGAAAGCUAUUUAGGUAGCGCCUCGUGAAUUCAUCUCCGGGGGUAGAGCACUGUUUCGGCAAGGGGGUCAUCCCGACUUACCAACCCGAUGCAAACUGCGAAUACCGGAGAAUGUUAUCACGGGAGACACACGGCGGGUGCUAACGUCCGUCGUGAAGAGGGAAACAACCCAGACCGCCAGCUAAGGUCCCAAAGUCAUGGUUAAGUGGGAAACGAUGUGGGAAGGCCCAGACAGCCAGGAUGUUGGCUUAGAAGCAGCCAUCAUUUAAAGAAAGCGUAAUAGCUCACUGGUCGAGUCGGCCUGCGCGGAAGAUGUAACGGGGCUAAACCAUGCACCGAAGCUGCGGCAGCGACACUAUGUGUUGUUGGGUAGGGGAGCGUUCUGUAAGCCUGUGAAGGUGUACUGUGAGGUAUGCUGGAGGUAUCAGAAGUGCGAAUGCUGACAUAAGUAACGAUAAAGCGGGUGAAAAGCCCGCUCGCCGGAAGACCAAGGGUUCCUGUCCAACGUUAAUCGGGGCAGGGUGAGUCGACCCCUAAGGCGAGGCCGAAAGGCGUAGUCGAUGGGAAACAGGUUAAUAUUCCUGUACUUGGUGUUACUGCGAAGGGGGGACGGAGAAGGCUAUGUUGGCCGGGCGACGGUUGUCCCGGUUUAAGCGUGUAGGCUGGUUUUCCAGGCAAAUCCGGAAAAUCAAGGCUGAGGCGUGAUGACGAGGCACUACGGUGCUGAAGCAACAAAUGCCCUGCUUCCAGGAAAAGCCUCUAAGCAUCAGGUAACAUCAAAUCGUACCCCAAACCGACACAGGUGGUCAGGUAGAGAAUACCAAGGCGCUUGAGAGAACUCGGGUGAAGGAACUAGGCAAAAUGGUGCCGUAACUUCGGGAGAAGGCACGCUGAUAUGUAGGUGAAGCGACUUGCUCGUGGAGCUGAAAUCAGUCGAAGAUACCAGCUGGCUGCAACUGUUUAUUAAAAACACAGCACUGUGCAAACACGAAAGUGGACGUAUACGGUGUGACGCCUGCCCGGUGCCGGAAGGUUAAUUGAUGGGGUUAGCGGUAACGCGAAGCUCUUGAUCGAAGCCCCGGUAAACGGCGGCCGUAACUAUAACGGUCCUAAGGUAGCGAAAUUCCUUGUCGGGUAAGUUCCGACCUGCACGAAUGGCGUAAUGAUGGCCAGGCUGUCUCCACCCGAGACUCAGUGAAAUUGAACUCGCUGUGAAGAUGCAGUGUACCCGCGGCAAGACGGAAAGACCCCGUGAACCUUUACUAUAGCUUGACACUGAACAUUGAGCCUUGAUGUGUAGGAUAGGUGGGAGGCUUUGAAGUGUGGACGCCAGUCUGCAUGGAGCCGGCCUUGAAAUACCACCCUUUAAUGUUUGAUGUUCUAACGUUGGCCCCUGAUCGGGGUUGCGGACAGUGUCUGGUGGGUAGUUUGACUGGGGCGGUCUCCUCCUAAAGAGUAACGGAGGAGCACGAAGGUUGGCUAAUCCUGGUCGGACAUCAGGAGGUUAGUGCAAUGGCAUAAGCCAGCUUGACUGCGAGCGUGACGGCGCGAGCAGGUGCGAAAGCAGGUCAUAGUGAUCCGGUGGUUCUGAAUGGAAGGGCCAUCGCUCAACGGAUAAAAGGUACUCCGGGGAUAACAGGCUGAUACCGCCCAAGAGUUCAUAUCGACGGCGGUGUUUGGCACCUCGAUGUCGGCUCAUCACAUCCUGGGGCUGAAGUAGGUCCCAAGGGUAUGGCUGUUCGCCAUUUAAAGUGGUACGCGAGCUGGGUUUAGAACGUCGUGAGACAGUUCGGUCCCUAUCUGCCGUGGGCGCUGGAGAACUGAGGGGGGCUGCUCCUAGUACGAGAGGACCGGAGUGGACGCAUCACUGGUGUUCGGGUUGUCAUGCCAAUGGCACUGCCCGGUAGCUAAAUGCGGAAGAGAUAAGUGCUGAAAGCAUCUAAGCACGAAACUUGCCCCGAGAUGAGUUCUCCCUGAGACUUAGAGUCUCCUGAAGGAACGUUGAAGACGACGACGUUGAUAGGCCGGGUGUGUAAGCGCAGCGAUGCGUUGAGCUAACCGGUACUAAUGAACCGUGAGGCUUAACCUU